AGAGCGAAUCUCCGUUGGUCUGUGUAAGGCCAUAAGAAAGGCUGUCACACGACGCGGGUUUUUAUUCUCUAAUUCGCACCUCACCAUACCCACAGAGAGCGAGAGAGAUCUCCGCCUCCGCCUCCGCCACCGCCACCGCCAUGGGCGACCCUAAUAGACCACCAGUCACAGGCUACCCCGCCGCCCCCAACGGUUACUCCGCCCAACCGCCGCCGCCACCGUCAGGCACCGCCUACCCUUACGUCGCCGCUCACCCGCCCAACGCCUACUACAGCUACCCCAACAACGCAUACAACUAUCACUACGACGCCGACUCCGUCCGCCGCGCCGCCUGGCUCCGCCGGAUCUUCGCCUUUGUAAUCGGUCUCGUCGUAAUCUUCGGAACGAUCACCUUCAUCGUCUGGUUGGUCCUCCGCCCGCAGCUCCCGGAGUUCCGCGUCGAUUCCGUCGCCGUCUCCAAUCUCAGCCUCGGCAACAACUCGCUUGUGUCCUUCACCUCCGAGGUCCGCCUCACCGCGCGGAACCCUAACAAGAAGAUGGACCUCUUCUACGACGACAUCCAGUCGAUGCUGUAUUAUGAAUCCAGUGACCUCGCGCAGACCUCAGUUCCCCCGUUCUCGCAGCACACUCAAAGCGAGACUUCCCUGGCGGCGAAUUUCGCGGCGGCGGGGAGUUUCGUGGAGAAGUCGGUGGCGGAUGGGAUCACCGGCGACCAAAAGAAGAAUGGUAAUGUGAACUUCAAUUUGAGGAUGAUUUCUAAGGUUAAGUUUGAGGCGAAGGCGUGGAGGACUAGGCGGAGGUAUCUAAGGGUAUUUUGCGCAGAUUUGAUCGUUGGAUUUCCCGGCGGCCGGAGCUCCGGCACUUUGACCGGCGGCCCGAAGCAGUGCCGCGUAGGGAUUUGAGGUUGCUAAAUGGUUCAGAUAUGGUAAUUUAGGAGUCUGGAGCAAUUUUGAAGAUCGAUGUGUGGAGUUUCGACUGCCCUUUAUUCCUUUCCCUUACCGGAAAUAGCAUCAACACCUAACCAAGCUACUAUCAUAGUGACUCCAACGUUGUAACUUGGCUCAAGACACUUGAUUGAAUUGUUGUCAUUUGUUUCGUGUUGGAGAAACUGUUUGUGGAUGAUUAAUCAGGUUGCUUUCUUGGGAUAAGGAUACGACGUUUGCAAUGGACAGUAAGACCCUAUUAUGCUGCCCAAGCUUGUGAGGUAUGUGUUGGUGAUAUUUCCUUGUCGAAUACUUGGAAAGCUUGCAUUUUACCAUCUUUAAAGUUGUCUUUGGGAAACAUGCAUGUUUCUAGUCCAAAGAACUCAGGUGCUAUGUGUUGAAAAUCUUGUCUGUGACAAGGCACAAGAUUUUUGCUAGAAUUGUGAAAUCUUCAGAAAUUUGUCUUAUCAUAUGAAUUUUGAAAUAACAUUACUCAUCUUCCUAGACAUGAUGAAAGUGAUGAUAAUUGAAACCCCUUGAUGUUA
Molecule: RNA transcript, 1468 nt
Organism: Andrographis paniculata
Lineage: Eukaryota; Viridiplantae; Streptophyta; Magnoliopsida; Lamiales; Acanthaceae
Gene name: NDR1/HIN1-like protein 10
Exons: 3
Source: RefSeq, a predicted model, not a curated record